Molecule: ribosomal RNA, 895 nt
Filed under: uncultured bacterium
Lineage: Bacteria
Description: bacterial SSU rRNA
Rfam family: Bacterial small subunit ribosomal RNA
Source: RNAcentral
CCAGAGUUUGAUCCUGGCUCAGAUUGAACGCUGGCGGAAUGCUUUACACAUGCAAGUCGAACGGCAGCACGGGGGCAACCCUGGUGGCGAGUGGCGAACGGGUGAGUAAUACAUCGGAACGUGCCCAGUCGUGGGGGAUAACGUAGCGAAAGUUACGCUAAUACCGCAUACGAUCUCUGGAUGAAAGCGGGGGACCGCAAGGCCUCGCGCGAUUGGAGCGGCCGAUGUCAGAUUAGGUAGUUGGUGGGGUAAAGGCCUACCAAGCCGACGAUCUGUAGCUGGUCUGAGAGGACGACCAGCCACACUGGGACUGAGACACGGCCCAGACUCCUACGGGAGGCAGCAGUGGGGAAUUUUGGACAAUGGGCGCAAGCCUGAUCCAGCCAUCCGCGUGCAGGAUGAAGGCCCUCGGGUUGUAAACUGCUUUUGUACGGAACGAAAAGGCUCUGGUUAAUACCUGGGGCUCAUGACGGUACCGUAAGAAUAAGCACCGGCUAACUACGUGCCAGCAGCCGCGGUAAUACGUAGGGUGCAAGCGUUAAUCGGAAUUACUGGGCGUAAAGCGUGCGCAGGCGGUGAUGUAAGACAGAGGUGAAAUCCCCGGGCUCAACCUGGGAACUGCCUUUGUGACUGCAUCGCUGGAGUGCGGCAGAGGGGGAUGGAAUUCCGCGUGUAGCAGUGAAAUGCGUAGAUAUGCGGAGGAACACCGAUGGCGAAGGCAAUCCCCUGGGCCUGCACUGACGCUCAUGCACGAAAGCGUGGGGAGCAAACAGGAUUAGAUACCCUGGUAGUCCACGCCCUAAACGAUGUCAACUGGUUGUUGGGUCUUCACUGACUCAGUAACGAAGCUAACGCGUGAAGUUGACCGCCUGGGGAGUACGGCCGCAAGGUUGAA